Long non-coding RNA from Octopus bimaculoides (California two-spot octopus), 811 nucleotides. NCBI's taxonomy places the organism in Eukaryota, Metazoa, Mollusca, Cephalopoda, Octopoda, Octopodidae. The record is from RefSeq and is a predicted model, not a curated record.
GGACAUGCAGAAGCUGAUUCCAUGGCCAUAUUCAUUCGCUUGAGACACAAUUAACCAAUCACGUUCUGUACAGAUGUCAUAUACGCUUUACGUUAAAGUGAUAACCUCCGAAAAAAAAAACUCACAUCGACUCUGGAACUUUCUCUCCUUCAGCACUCAACAAGUUUUACGUGUCAUCUUUAUCUUAGACUUAUUUCACACAGUUAUGAGCACACGGUUCACUACCUUAUAGUAACACGUUAUGGCAGAAUGCACUCCUAGCUUUCUGAGUCAACCUCAAUCAUUGACUAAGCACGCGUCUAUCUUAGUUUUGUUUUGAAAAGAAAAGAAUCUCUUAGUUCCCAUUUCAUUCAACUAAGCGAAAAUAGCAGAUGGCAACAUACUCUAAAAAGAUAGCGGUUUCAUCUCGGCACUGUUUGAGUGGAUUGUUUCCACCGCGAAGUUAACAGCUCGAACAACCUGCGAGAAUCUUCUGUACCAAGUAACCGGUCGCAGCAUCGACGCUCAAUUUCACACACAACAUGUGUCACCACAGCUCUGCUCCUUGGUCACGACUUCUUGUACAGACAUUCUACUUGUGUAGCUCUUCUAUGAACUGGUAUUUUUCUAAUUCUGUGUUUACGACGCUUAUAGUCUCUCACAGACUCUUAUUCCAUGUUCUGUAUUUCUCUCUCACUUACACACAUUGUUGUAUACACAUUCUUUACACGACGGUCCGUCAUACACAUUGUAUUGUUUAUAUUGCCGCAUGCACGCACACACAGACACACUGUUCACUAUGUUAAUAAACUUACUCUCUUUAUAUAUCUAA